RNAcentral lists this ribosomal RNA (253 nucleotides) under uncultured bacterium. RNAcentral's name for it is "partial 16S ribosomal RNA". It matches the Rfam family "Bacterial small subunit ribosomal RNA", at positions 524 to 776 of the family's 1533-position model. The record is from RNAcentral.
UACGUAGGGGGCUAGCGUUGUCCGGAAUCAUUGGGCGUAAAGCGCGUGUAGGCGGUCCGGUAAGUCCGCUGUGAAAGUCGAGGGCUCAACCCUCGAAUGCCGGUGGAUACUGUCGGGCUUGAGUACGGGAGAGGCGAGUGGAAUUCCUGGUGUAGCGGUGAAAUGCGCAGAUAUCAGGAGGAACACCAAUGGCGAAGGCAGCACUCUGGGACGUGACUGACGCUGAGACGCGAAAGCGUGGGGAGCAAACAGG